GUAGGGGACCAAGCGUUAUCCGGAAUUAUUGGGCGUAAAGGGUGCGUAGGCGGCCAUGUAAGUCUAAGUUAAAAGCCCACAGCUUAACUGUGGAAGGUGCUUAGAAACUGUAUGGCUUGAAUUCAGAAGAGGCAAGUGGAAUUCUAUGUGGAGCGGUGGAAUGCGUAGAUAUAUGGAGGAACACCAGUGGCGAAGGCGGCUUGCUGGGCUGAUAUUGACGCUGAUGCACGAAAGCGUGGGGAGCAAACAGGAUUAGAUACCCUGGUAGUCCACGCCGUAAACGAUGAGUACUAAGUGUUGGAGAAAUUCAGUGCUGAACUUAACAGAUUAAGUACUCCGCCUGGGGAUUACGACCGCAAGGUUG
Molecule: ribosomal RNA, 364 nt
Filed under: uncultured organism
Description: partial 16S ribosomal RNA
Rfam family: Bacterial small subunit ribosomal RNA
Source: RNAcentral